AUAUUUUAUCUCCCUCUCUCAAUUCAAACACGAAAUGGUCUGGGAAGUCUUUGUUAAUGUGCUGCAAUGGGUAAAAGGACGCAGACGAAGAAUAGAAAGAUGGUCAAAUAGUCGCCCACUUGAUCGGUCUUUCUUUACUUUUUCCAACCCAAGCCCUAACAUUCUCUCACCUUAUUCAGCGUAGAUACUGAGAAUCGAAGUGAAUGGAGUGUCCAUUUCUCUGCGAAUAAUCACAAAAAAUGCCGAAUUUCCAUGUCCUUACAUUCGAAUCCAUCUUUUCCUCUUUCAAUUGGUGUAGAUUUCACUCCAUUGGGUAACAAAUUUGAAUCCACAGCUUGUUAUACCAUUCUAUAAUAUCGAUUGGUUUUGUUCGAAUUCUGGUUGCGAGUGGUGACAUGAAGAUCGAAGAGUUGGACGAUGAUGUAAAAUACGAUCAAGAUCGUGUUGGUGGAGGAGGACAGAUUGUUCAGGUCGAUGCGAAGAGAGCAUUAGUUGGAGCGGGGGCUCGGAUCCUAUUCUACCCGACCCUGUUGUACAAUGUGUUCAGCAACAAGAUUCAAGCCGAGCUUAGAUGGUUGGACGAAGUUGAGCAGAGACAUGCGGGAAGCUUGUUAGAAGACUUUACACAAAGGUAGAUCAGCACGCUAGCAGUGAGUGGAAACUUUUUGGUUGCUGGAGGCUUAAGCUUUCAAGGAGAACUUACUUGUAAGAUUUUUGGAUGGGCUCAUGCAAUAAGACUUCAAGCUCUUUUUGUUUAAAAUAGUUUAAAUAGUGUAUGUCCAAGUCUUUGAACCAUUUGUUUAGGAAUCUAUAUCUCAUUUUUGUCUAGGAUCUUGAAACAUUUUAUUUAAGAUACUAGCUUGUUUUGAUCCAAAUUAUUGGAGUUAAAAUUGUUUUAGAUGCUAAGACUCAUUUUUUUACACGAUGGGCUUUAUUAUGUGUUGUAAACAAUACAUUUUUUGGUUGGUGUAACUUAUACAAUAUCAAGUAUUUAUUUGUUUGCAUAAUCGUGUUGAUGUGAUAAUUUAUUUUUUUUUAUUAUUAUUUUUUUUUAUAAUGUUUCUUUUGUUUAUAAUGUUAAUAAUUUAUAGGUUUGCCACAAAUUCUUAUCGUGUCACGAUAAAUAUGUGGCUUAUUUUUGGUAUUUGCCACAAUAUAUAUUUUUGGUUAUUAAAUUAAAUUUUAUUUUAUUAAUAAUAGAAUAGCCACGGAUAAACUCCAUGGCCU
This is a long non-coding RNA of Cornus florida, 1227 nucleotides long. RefSeq lists it as uncharacterized. The transcript is spliced from 3 exons. NCBI's taxonomy places the organism in Eukaryota, Viridiplantae, Streptophyta, Magnoliopsida, Cornales, Cornaceae. The record is from RefSeq and is a predicted model, not a curated record.